Molecule: long non-coding RNA, 365 nt
Organism: Paramisgurnus dabryanus
Lineage: Eukaryota; Metazoa; Chordata; Actinopteri; Cypriniformes; Cobitidae
Source: RefSeq, a predicted model, not a curated record
GUUGGUUGCCAACCGCCAGUUAAACACUAAAGAAGAAGAAGAAGAUGAUUUGGUCACAUGCUUAGAAGUUUGAAUUGACAAACGGUUGUCAGAUUUGCGCGGGUGUUUUCAAUUCAAUGCUUUUAGGUAAGCCAAUCUCGGAUAUCAUGGAGCUGCAUUGUCGUUUUGGAAUAAGGAUGUAAUGUUUCUUCUGCGUUUCGAACGAAGGGUCGGAGCGUCAUCGGUGGAACAUCUCGGGGUUUCUCCAUGUACGACGUGCAAUCGUAUUACGGUGUUUUUCUCGUGGACGUUUCUCUGUCUAGAUAGUGAGAGAUAAACCAUUGCCCCGUUGAUCCACUGCUGAUGUCGGUCUGUUUACAGGUAUG